This is an RNA transcript of Zea mays, 4253 nucleotides long. RefSeq lists it as uncharacterized. NCBI's taxonomy places the organism in Eukaryota, Viridiplantae, Streptophyta, Magnoliopsida, Poales, Poaceae. The record is from RefSeq and is a predicted model, not a curated record. The transcript has 6 exons.
CAUCGCCGCCAUCUUCGAGCCUCCCUGAAGCACGGGCGCUGCGGGGUCGUUCCUCACCGGCGUCUCCUUGGCCAACCUGUCCAUCUCCUUCCACCGUAUGCCUAGGGUCGAGUGCCUCCCACCCAUCAAAUCCAAGCAUCAGGAGGUGCUCACCUUUGACAGCGGCCAUCCCUCAACCCACUGUAGCAUGUGGCGCCCCCGCUGCGAAUUUGCCUCUAUGACAAUUGCCAUCCUCACAUCCCAAACCGUCGAUGCCCACCCCUAACACGGUUCCUGACCUCCCUGACAGGGGACUUCUCUAAAGGAUAUAACAAGUGGUGGUCAAGAAAUCCAAAUGGAGUCCCUCUAGAAUCUCUUGGAUAUAAGCAAGGUUACAGAGUUGAUGUGGAUAUUCCUGACCAAACAUGGGUAGAGGCAUGUAGCUUCCAUGAUGUUCUUAUUUUCAACACUGGGCAUUGCUGGGAUUCCACAUCUUAAGUGGUUUGGGGUGGAGGGGCAGUACAAUGUCAUGGUGAUUGAUCUGCUUGGUCCAAGUCUGAAGGGCUUAUUUAACUACUGCAGCAGAAAGUUCUCACUUAAAACAGUACUAAUGCUUGCUGAUCAGAUGAUCAGUGUUGUUUGCUACCUGGCACGUUGGAGUCCAGCGCGUCUGCCGCCUCCGAUAAACUCAAGUCCAUCGGUCAGUCCGUCGAUGACCACGAUAUUGUCGCUGGUCUCCUCUCGAACCUACAAGAUCGUGGAUUACGUCGAAGCAGAUACAGCUCAUCUAUCUGCACCUGGUCUUGGGGUGGAAUUUGGGUCAACACAUGACCAUGUUAUGUAUGCGUUGUUUCAAGGCCUGUUUCUUGCUCCCUCUUUACAAUAUUUUAUAUUGCACUUCUUAGCGAUAGAACUGCUGAAUUUUUUAAGGCCAGCAAACAGAUAAAGUGAACUUCGAAAAAUAAAAUUGCAGGUAGUGCAGCUUGGCAGCAGGGAAUGACUCAUAACAUUCUGUGAAGUAGUGCAACAGUUCUCUGUUUAAAUUCCUCAUUUGUUUUGAUAAUUUUCUAUUGAUUCAUUCAAAACAACUCAUAUCAAUUUGCUAGCCCACAAGAGAGCUCGCUCCGUAUUCUGCUAGAUGCAUUUAUGAGAAAUUAUAGUUGGAGCUCCCAUAUUAAUAAUAUAAUGGAACUUCAUCCAUGUCUGAAAUAAGUAUGUUCUUUGUUUUUUCUAUAAAAGUGCUUGAGCAAUCAGGAACAGAUAGUGGAGUUACUUGAACGUGAAAAAUUGGAGAAGAAGCUGCAGGAUCCAGCUGCAGAACCAAUAUGUUUGCCAAUAGAAUUUUUGAAAGCCAUCACAUGCAAUUUUUCAACUGAACGAGAACUUGGCAGGGUGAGUACGGAGUAGUGUACAAGGGAGUUCUGCAUUGAGCUGUCGUAGAGAGCGCAGACAGGCACUCUAGCCAACGUUGUUGGCUAGGAUUGGGACACAAAAGCGAGACGAGGGAUGAGAAGCACAGGAGGAGUCGGUCUGUCCUCAUCAUCGAUAUAUGCAAGCCAUCCAGUGCUUUGGAGUUGAUAUGGUCGGCUGAGAAGUUGAGGAAGAAGUCAUUUCUACCUAUAAGCUAGGUGCUGUUGUUGUUUGAAUAGAGACCAUCUCUACUCCUUUAAUGCCUAAACCUACAGCUGUGUGACAUGAAGAACUUGUGAACCAAAAUCAUGGCACAACUGAAGACAUAACUAACUGGAAAAAUGACUUUUUUUUAUUUUCAAGAACUAUAACAGAAUCCAGUAACAUUGCAGCAACCCCUGUUUCCUCGACAUAGAACCAGUGAAGCUCGCUAAUUUAGAGGAUACACCAAUUUAUGAUAUUACUUUCCCAGCAACUGUUAGUUGGAACAAUCUUUUCUGGACCUAAAACAGAAAAACAUCGCAUUAGAAUUGUCAAUGUUCUUUAGCUAACUAGAAUGCACAGUGCAGCAUAGCAAUAUCAGACUCUGAAGUCCCAACCAUUCCGUUGGAUAAAGAGUAUGUAGGGUUAUUCAAUUUCCUCUCAACUGUUUUUAACUUUCUAAUCUAUUAAUCGCUGGUGUUAGAUCAGGUAGGUGGCGGCUAAGAAAAAUGAAGAUGGUGACAACUAAGAAACUCUAAAGCCUCCACUGCCUUUGCUUCCCUUGCUGGUUGACGCGCCAUCAUCGCAUGAAGGUUAGCUUCCCCUCAUGAUGAUUGUGCGCUGGUAAACGCAGUGGAGGCGAUAGAUAUUUCUGCAUGGUUCUAUGUAAGUUUCCUUCAAUUUAUUUUUUCUUCCUAUAUUUCUUUCCUCGAUUACGCCACAAAGUAAAAAAAGGUUGGUCUCUAUCUGUUCGUUGUUCGGUUCCUCCAUUACUGUUGAUCAGCCUCUAAUCUGUAUGACAGCUAUAAAGCAAGGGAUUGGUCCUGGUGUCAUUUUGUAAUCUCCGUUGUCAAAUUCAUAUUGUCUCUGCUAUCUUUGUUGCCAAAUUCAUACUCCUGGUGUCCUGUCUUUUUAUAUUUAUUUUGACGAUUGUUGGGCUAGGUCACGUUCAGUUGAUCUCUGCAUGAGAUUUUAUACCCUUGGAGAACUUGAAAUACUUAUUGUCUCUGCCUCUGUCCUGGUGGCAUGUGUUUUGAUGAGCUCGCUAGCCAGGUCAUGUAUGGUUUCACUUGAACAUUUUCACUUCCAUGGUUGAUAUGAACUGGUGACAUCCUUACUGAUGCACUAGAUUUCGAUCCUAGGAUACUCUUUAAUUGAUGUAUGCUUUGCUUCGGUCGUAUAAUAUUAGAGCAACUUAUCAUCUCCCACGUUUUAUAAUCCAUCCUAGCAUGUUACAAUUUUUUCUGCACAAUUGUACAUGGAAGCAUUAGUCAUAGGAUAUCGGUUGUUGAAGUACAUCGUCAAUUAUACAGAGAAGCAUUAGUGCAUUGAACGGCUGAAGAAUCACCGCAGUAAUUUCCUACCACUCAUCUUUUGCUCUGUUUCCUUUUAGAUUCAGAUUCAGCUACACUUUCUUAACUAGGACAUGCUUAAUCCAGGGGAAAAUAGUGCAGCUGUUGGUUACCUGAUCGUUGAUACAAACGGUGGCCUAAAUCAGAUGAGAAUGGUAGUAAGUAUAUGAUUGUGCUAACACCAUGGCAAUGUCUUCUAGCUAACUCUCAUUGAUUCCUUCACAAUUAUUCUUACAAAUAAGUGAUAUGGUUGUAGUGGCAAAGAUCAUGAACGCGUAGCUGGUGAUCUCUACUCAAAGACUCGAAAGCUUAGGUCUGUAACCAUAAAACUGAAUACUUAAUAUGGGCAAUUCAUGUAUCCUGAUUAUGGAUAUUAUGUGGAUAUUUUCUAUCUGUGAAUCACCCCUGCACUUUGAAUCGCUUAUGUCAUUAUUAGCAAUCACAUAAUAUUUUUCUUUUGUUUUAGAUUUAAUUGGUAUAAUCAUAUACUAAUUCAUAGAUUGGUACCUCUAAUAAGCUUUGGUACAAUAGGAUUUGGUUCAGCUUCUCACUUUGUGUUUAAAUAAAAAGAAACAGGCAACAAAUUAUAGUGAAGAGGCUCCUCCCAUCCCUGUCACUUGGUGGAUCACCCCCACGGAACCACCCUAGCCAAAGACAGGUAUGUGCAUGAUGUUAUUCUUGGUAGCCUAUAAUCAUCUUUGCCUCAAAGUGCUUCUAUAGGUAAAUGAAUGUAGUGCAAGUUUUUAUUUCUAUUUUUUGCUCCAACUGUUUUCUAUGCUACUUCCUUAGUGUUAGUUCACCAUGCAUAAGUCAUCUGCAGAAAGUGUGCUUCUUCCUAACCAACUGUAUAUGUUAUUAAUUGUCUUCUAAUUUCAAUAGUAUAAAAGUGGUAGAUCGUUAGGGAGGUACACAAGUGCAGCCACCAUUGUGAGGUCCUUGAUGUAUCGGCGCCACAACAAGGACCUCGACGUAUUGCCACCGUCGCUUUGGAGAAAACAGAGGCAGAUGGCAACAUCGUGGCGCUGAAGAACUACCUCAAGACGUAGUACUACGAUGAGGUCGGCAUCUUCACACCAUUGUAGAACUUCCACCUUUGUGCUUUUGUUUCGUGGCAUAAUAUUCAUUACAGCAAGUAUAUUUCUGCAAGUAUAUUUCUGCACGUAUAUUUCUGCAAGUAUAUAGAGCCAAAGGUGACACAAGCGUGUAGAAAUCAAAUUUCAGUGUGUAGUUGUGUACUGCGAUAGUUGCAUCCAAUGUACUACUUUGUACAUUGUGUGCAUUUUGUUUUCUUAUAAAUCAGAUUUGAUUUCC